This 341-nucleotide ribosomal RNA is filed under the name uncultured bacterium. RNAcentral describes it as "bacterial SSU rRNA". It matches the Rfam family "Bacterial small subunit ribosomal RNA", at positions 1011 to 1353 of the family's 1533-position model. The record is from RNAcentral.
GAGNUCCCUUCGGGGACGCUAAGACAGGUGGUGCAUGGCUGUCGUCAGCUCGUGUCGUGAGAUGUUGGGUUAAGUCCCGCAACGAGCGCAACCCUUGUUAUUAGUUGCCAGCAUUAAGUUGGGCACUCUAAUGAGACUGCCGGUGACAAACCGGAGGAAGGUGGGGAUGACGUCAAGUCAUCAUGCCCCUUAUGACCUGGGCUACACACGUGCUACAAUGGGCAGUACAACGAGAAGCGAGCCUGCGAAGGCAAGCGAAUCUCUGAAAGCUGUUCUCAGUUCGGACUGCAGUCUGCAACUCGACUGCACGAAGCUGGAAUCGCUAGUAAUCGCGNAUCAGC